RNAcentral lists this ribosomal RNA (253 nucleotides) under uncultured bacterium. Its description in RNAcentral is "partial 16S ribosomal RNA". It matches the Rfam family "Bacterial small subunit ribosomal RNA", at positions 524 to 776 of the family's 1533-position model. The record is from RNAcentral.
UACGUAGGGUGCAAGCGUUAAUCGGAAUUACUGGGCGUAAAGCGUGCGCAGGCGGCUUUGCAAGACAGAUGUGAAAUCCCCGGGCUUAACCUGGGAACUGCAUUUGUGACUGCAUGGCUAGAGUGCGACAGAGGGGGAUGGAAUUCCGCGUGUAGCAGUGAAAUGCGUAGAUAUGCGGAGGAACACCGAUGGCGAAGGCAAUCCCCUGGGCCUGCACUGACGCUCAUGCACGAAAGCGUGGGGAGCAAACAGG